Molecule: ribosomal RNA, 253 nt
Filed under: uncultured bacterium
Lineage: Bacteria
Description: partial 16S ribosomal RNA
Rfam family: Bacterial small subunit ribosomal RNA
Source: RNAcentral
UACGUAGGGGGCAAGCGUUGUCCGGAAUCAUUGGGCGUAAAGAGCGUGUAGGCGGCCCGGUAAGUCCGCUGUGAAAGUCCAGGGCUCAACCCUGGGAUGCCGGUGGAUACUGUCGGGCCCGAGUCCGGAAGAGGAGUGUGGAAUUCCUGGUGUAGCGGUGAAAUGCGCAGAUAUCAGGAGGAACACCAAUGGCAAAGGCAGCACUCUGGGACGUGACUGACGCUGAGACGCGAAAGCGUGGGGAGCAAACAGG